AUUAUUUUGACAGAAAAAUGUGAUGAUUUUAGAAAUCAUUUAUAUAUAAUUUUAAUUAUAUAAAUAGUA
RNAcentral lists this transfer RNA (69 nucleotides) under Zygaena carniolica virginea. RNAcentral's name for it is "transfer RNA-Leu (CUN)". The record is from RNAcentral. Lineage: Eukaryota; Metazoa; Arthropoda; Insecta; Lepidoptera; Zygaenidae.